AAACCAGCACCUCAAGUGGUCAGGAUGAUUAUUGGGCCUAAAGCAUCCGUAGCCUGCUCUGUAAGUUUUCGGUUAAAUCUGUACGCUCAACGUACAGGCUGCCGGGAAUACUGCAGAGCUAGGGAGUGGGAGAGGUAGACGGUACUCGGGAGGAAGGGGUAAAAUCCUUUGAUCUCUCGAUGACCACCUGUGGCGAAGGCGGUCUACCAGAACACGUUCGACGGUGAGGGAUGAAAGCUGGGGGAGCAAACCGGAUUAGAAACCCCAGUAGUCC
Molecule: ribosomal RNA, 274 nt
Filed under: uncultured bacterium
Lineage: Bacteria
Description: partial 16S ribosomal RNA
Rfam family: Archaeal small subunit ribosomal RNA
Source: RNAcentral